RNAcentral lists this long non-coding RNA (517 nucleotides) under Homo sapiens (human). RNAcentral's name for it is "HSALNT0045363". Lineage: Eukaryota; Metazoa; Chordata; Mammalia; Primates; Hominidae. The record is from RNAcentral.
CUGGCUUUCCGUUUGCCUCCCGCCAUGAUUGAAUGUGCCUUAACGUCACUUGGCCGUAAGCUAAUGUACAAUGCAUCUAUAAUAAAUCUGCUUUGUUCAGUCUUUCAUCAUCCUUGACAAUAAAAUUUUUACUACCUGAUACCAAUGAAAUCUUAGUAAAAAAAUGCAAACCCAGGCACUGAAAUUCCACGCUUAAAGCUGAUAGUUCCUAAAACCAUAAAAACCCUAGAAGAAAACCUAGACAAUGCCAUUCAGGACAUAGGCAUGGGCAAGGACUUCAUGACUAAAACACCAAAAGCAAUGGCAACAGAAGCUGAAAUUGACAAAUGGGAUCUAAUUAAACUAAAGAGCUUCUGCUCAGCAAAAGAAACUACCAUCAGAGUCAACAGGCAACCUACAGAAUGGGAGAAAAUUUUUGCAACCUACUCAUCUGACAAAGGGCGAAUAUCCAGAAUCUACAAAGAACUCAAACAAAUUUACAAGAAAAAAUCAAACAACCCCAUCAAAAAGUGGGCAA